CCCGGAAACAGGAAACAGUCUUUUCUAGCUGACUGUCCAAGCAUUCCUGUACUAGAAAAGGGCUUCCCUGCUCCAAGAUACAAUACAAAGUCUUUGUUUAUGUCGGUGAACGGAGCAAACCAUGCCCAAGAUGGAAAUAAAAUGAAAUGGAUGCAAACUUCUAAGGUAGAGUCAGCUACUAUUAUGAGUGAAACCCA
Monodelphis domestica (gray short-tailed opossum) is the source of this 197-nucleotide long non-coding RNA. RefSeq lists it as uncharacterized. Lineage: Eukaryota; Metazoa; Chordata; Mammalia; Didelphimorphia; Didelphidae. The record is from RefSeq and is a predicted model, not a curated record.